GAUGAACGCUGGCGGCGUGCCUAAUACAUGCAAGUCGAGCGAACAGACGAGGAGCUUGCUCCUCUGACGUUAGCGGCGGACGGGUGAGUAACACGUGGAUAACCUACCUAUAAGACUGGGAUAACUUCGGGAAACCGGAGCUAAUACCGGAUAAUAUAUUGAACCGCAUGGUUCAAUAGUGAAAGACGGUUUUGCUGUCACUUAUAGAUGGAUCCGCGCCGCAUUAGCUAGUUGGUAAGGUAACGGCUUACCAAGGCAACGAUGCGUAGCCGACCUGAGAGGGUGAUCGGGCACACUGGAACUGAGACACGGUCCAGACUCCUACGGGAGGCAGCAGUAGGGAAUCGUCCGCAAUGGGCGAAAGCCUGACGGAGCAACGCCGCGUGAGUGAUGAAGGUCUUCGGAUCGUAAAACUCUGUUAUUAGGGAAGAACAAAUGUGUAAGUAACUAUGCACGUCUUGACGGUACCUAAUCAGAAAGCCACGGCUAACUACGU
This 496-nucleotide ribosomal RNA is filed under the name uncultured bacterium. RNAcentral describes it as "partial 16S ribosomal RNA". It matches the Rfam family "Bacterial small subunit ribosomal RNA", at positions 28 to 506 of the family's 1533-position model. The record is from RNAcentral.